AUACGAGAUACAUAAUACAACUCCACCCAGAAUAAGUGUCACAAUGUCACGGACUAUCUAUGAAUACUAGAAAUAGUGGUCUGAACAAGAAAAUACAAAUCUGUCUCACAAAUAGAUAAAAUAGAAGGAAAUAUUAUAGAAGGGGACGUCAAGGCUUGCGGACGCCUGUAGGACUACCUCGGGUCUCCACUAGACUAAAGACAGCAACCUCGAACUAUGGUCCGUAGGGUCAAGUACCGAGAUAUGCACAAAAGAGUGCAGAGUGUAGUAUCAGUACAACCGACCCCAUGUACUGAGUAAGUGUUGAGCCUAAGCUCGACGAAGUAGUGACGAGGCUAGGAUGCGACAACCACAUAAACCUGUGCAAUUAAAUCAUAUACGAGAAGCCAUAAUAAAAAGAAUGAAACAUAAUAAGACGGAAAAAGGGGAAACAUGCUGAGGGGGGGAUAUCAGGUUAUGACAAUGAUAAAGUAAAGCGAAAAAGUAAAAUCAAGCUAGAAGAGACGGAAAUGACAACAUAGUAACAAGUGCACGACAUCACCCUUCAUCCUUUUACUGUCAUCCUCACCAUAGAUCUCAACAAAAACUGCACGGCAUCACCCUUCGUGCUUCUACACUCUCAUAAUCAUGGCACGACAAUCACCCUUCGUGCUUUUACUUUCAAUACUAUGGCACGACAUCACCCUUCGUGCAUUAACACUCACAAUAUUGGCACGACAUCACCCUUCGUGCAUUAACACUCACUCACAAUAUCGUGCACGGCAUCACCCUUAGUGCUUUACACUCUUCCUCACCCAAACAAAUGAAAUAAAUAAUAUCCCGGCAAGGGAAUCCAUAAUAGAAAUAAUAUCGUCCUGGCAAGGGAGUCAACAAUAGAAACAACAUAAUCCCGGCAAGGGAAUCAGGUAUAACCAAUCUAGUUUCAACAGUUACUUCACAUAAUAAACCUCAACUUGAGCCAAUAUUUGACAAAUGGUCAAUUACCAAGAAUUUACCAUAAGUCUUGUUCCAUAGUGUUAAUCAUCAAUUUAAGCUUGAACAAUACAUAGUGAAAUCACAACAAUAUUAAUAUAAGACUCACGGGCAUGCUUGACUCCAACGUAUAGAUACUCGUCACCUCACCUAUACGUCAUACUCGACACUAACACAUAGCAAAUAAGACACAACACCUAUUACCUCAAGCUAAGGUUAGAUCAAACACUUACCUCGAAUUCUAUGACCAAACUCAAGCCUCAAAUACCGCUUUCCCUUUAGAUUCCACUUACCAUUCACUUGUAUCUAGCCAAUAUUAACUUAUUAACAUUAAUUGAAGCCAAUGAAACCAAUUCGAAUGAAAAAUUACAGAUUUCCCAACAUUCUUCCAAAAAGGUAAAAUUUCGACCCGAGCCUGCCUGGUCAAAACUCGAGGUUCAAACCAAAACUCGUUCACCCAUUCACCCACGAGCCCAAAUAUGCAAUUAAUUUCGGAAUUCGACCCCAAAUCAAGGUAUAAAUCCCCAAAUUUGUAAAAUCCCCCAAUUCUCCUAAAAUCACUAAUUUCUACCAUUAAAGAAGAAGAUUUAGGCUUAGAAAUCUAACGGGUGUCGAUGGAAAAUGAAAGAAAUGGGUUUAAGAACACAUACCUAUGAUUUGGUUUUGAAAUUUCUCUUCACAAAUCGCCUAAGGUCAGAUUCUAGGGAAGGAGAUAAAUUUUUUUGAAGAAAUCCCGACAUAGGUUCUGUUUUAAUUCGCUGGAAAGGUCUUCUUCGCAGUCGUGAGAAGCCUGUCGCGUUCGCGAAGCAUUGGCUAGAAGAGCCUUCGCAUUCGCGAGAUACUGUAUGCUUUCGUAAAGGUUCACCCCUGACCUUCACGUGCCAAUCGCCGCGUUCGCGUAGAGUAUUUUCCCUCCUCCCCCAGGUCCCUGCCAGAAAGGCCUUCGCGUUUGCGAUAGCCAGGUCGCAUUCGCAACCUAUGCCUCGCAUUCGCAUAGAAGGAAUUUCCUUCAGACAAUUUUUAUUCUCCGUGUUCACGAGAGUUCCUUCGCAAACGUGCAGAAGGAACCAUCUGUGCACCUGCAAUAGCAAAAACAAUAGAAAUCUAAGUCCAAAACAUCCCGAAACCUAUCUGAAACUCACCUGAGCCCUCGGGACUCCAAACCGAACAUGCACACCACCCUAAAAACACCAUACAGACUUAAUUGGGUGAUUAAAUCGCCAAAAUAACGCCUAGAAAUACGAGUUUACCAUCAAAAUCAAAGAAAAAUCUCAAGAACUCUUAAAGUUUCCAUUUCACAACCAAGGGUCCGAUUCACGUCAUAUGAAUUCCGUUUCUUAACAAAUUUUACACGCAUAAUUUAAAUACCAUAUUAAACUUGUACCGGGCUCUAGAACCAAAAUUCAAGCCCGAUACCAUCAAAUUCAAACAUAUUCAAAUUUCCAUAAACUUUUAUAUUUUCAGCUAAAUAAUUUCUUUCGAAAAUUUAUUUCUCGGUCUGGGGACAUCGGAAUUCAAUUCCGGGCAUACGACCAAGUCUCACAUUUUCCCACGGACCCUCCGGGACCGUCGAAUCUCAGGUCCAGGUCCGUUUACACAAAAUGUUGACCGAAGUCAACUUAAAUUCAAUUUUAAAGGCAAAAUUAGCAUUUCUCUCAAUUUUACAGAUAACGGCUUUUCAGAUAUAUGCCCGGACUAUGCACGCGAAUCGAGGUGAGACAAAAAGAGGCUUUUAAGUUCUUGGAACACAUAUUUGACUUUUAAAAAAAAAAUGAUCUUUUGGGUCAUCACAUUCUCCACCUCUAAAAUAAUCGUUCAUCCUCGAACGGACUUAGAAAAGUACCUGAGUCGGGGAAAAGAUGGGGAUAUUGGCUCCACAUAUCGGACACGGACUCCCUGGUAGCUACCUCGGCAGGCUGACCUUUCCAUUGCACACGAACAGAAGGGAAAUUCUUCGAUCACAACUGAUGAACCUGCCGGUCUAGAAUAGCUACCGGCUCCUCCUCAUAGGUCAAGUCCUUGUCCAACUGGACAGUGCUGAAGUCUAACACGUGGGAUGGAUCACCGUGAUACUUCCGAAGCAUGGACACAUGAAACACUGGAUGCACAAGUGAUAAGCUCGGCGUCAACGCAAGUCUGUAAGCCACCUUUCCCACUCUAUCAAGGAUCUCAAAAGGCCUGAUGAACCUAGGGCUUAGCUUGCCAUUCUUCACAAAUCUCAUCACGCCCUUCAUGGGCGAUACCCGAAGCAACACUCGCUCUGCGACCAUGAAUGCCACAUCUCGAACCGUGCGGUCGGCAUAACUCUUCUUCCUUGAUUGAGCUGUACGAAGCAUAUCCUGGAUGAUCUUAACCUUCUCCAAGGCAUCCUGAACUAAAUUUGUACCCAACAACCGAGCCUCUCCCAGCUCAAACUGCCCAACCGGCGAUCGACACACCCUACCAUAUAAAGCCUCAUAGGGAGCCAUCUGGAUGCUCGAUUAGUAACUGUUAUUGUAGGUAAACUCUGCUAAUGGUAAGAACUGAUCCUAAGAAACUCUAAAGUCAAUAACACAUGCUUGGAGAAUAUCCUCCAAAAUCUGAACAGUACACUUGGACUGUCCGUCAGUCUGAGGAUGAAAUGUGCUCAACUCGGCCCGUGUACCCAACUGACGCUAUACUGCCCUCUAGAAAUGCGAGGUAAACUGCGUACCUCAGUCUAAAAUAAUAGCCACGGGCACACCAUGAAGAGAACAAUCUCCCAAAUAUAGAUCUCAGUCAAUUGCUUCGAAGAAUAGGAAACUGCCACAGGAAUGAAAUACGCUGACUUGGUUAGCCUAUCCAUAAUAACCCAUACUGCAUCAAACAUCCUCUGAGUCCGUGAGAGUCCAAUAACGAAAUCCACAGUGAUACGCACCCACUUCCACUAAGGAAUCUCGAUUUUAUGAAAUAAACCACCAGGUCUCUGAUGCUCGUACUUUACAUGUUGCCAAUUCAAACACCAAGUUACAUACACAACGAUAUCCUUCAUCAUCCUCCUCUACCAAUAAUGCUGCCGCAAAUCCUAAUACAUCUUAACGGUGCCCGGAUGUGCCAUGACCCAAACUGAUGGGCCAUGACGAGCACCCGAUAAUUACUUAACCGAGUACCAACAUAACGUAUCUUUUCAUGUCAUACUAUCAUAGAUAAUUGAACCAGAGAGGUUUUCAUGAAAUAGGUAGAAUACAACAUGUAAUACAACCUUAUACAUAAGAUAUAUGGGCCUCUAAGAGCAAAAUAACCAUUCGUAUAUUGAACAUAGGCAGACAAAGCCAUACAAAAUAACCGAAUACACAUCUAAAUCAUACUGACCAAACAAGCAACUCCGAAGCAAAUGGAGUGCACCAACAUCUUCCGCUAAGCAGAUCCCCUACUUGGAGGACUCUCGACCUAUCUAUCAAGGACCUGCGAGCAUGAACGCAGAGUCACCAGGCAAAAGGGACGUCAGUAUGAAUAAUGUACCAAGUAUGUAAGGCACAUAAAUAAGUACAUAACAAACAUGGAGGAAAUGUAGAGUAAAUGACUCCACCUGUAAGUCUGAAUAACUUUGUAAAUCAUGAAAUAAUUAUAGUAUUAUACAUAUGCGUAUGAAUGUCAUGUCUUGCAUAGGUACAUGUUUCAUAACAUCAUUAGCCUCUGAGGGUGUCCCAUCAUAUCAUCUCGGCCACUGUGGGCAAAAUCAUCAACGUAUAAUGCCAUAANNNNNNNNNNNNNNNNNNNNNNNNNAUGCAUGAAAAGUACAUUAAUAAAAUCUUUCGGAAUGUCAUAACACCAUUUUGUCUUUGAAUAAUAUCAUAAAGUAAACUCUUUUCAACUUUCGUAUUUUUCUAAGACCCAUGAACAGAUGAUAGAAUAUUAUGACACAUGGAAAUUCAUGAACAUAGAUAGUUCUAAUACUUUUAUGAAUAGAGUCAUAUAUGGAAUUUGUGCAUUUGCUCAUUUCAUUCGUGUCGUAUAGAUCAUUCCAAAAGAAAAAAUGGAUAGCCUUAACAUAUCUGAAGUAGGGAAAAAUCUAUAUAAUAUUCUUGGAAAAGGUUGCACCAUACUCUUUAAUAGUCGCAAAAUAUCACGUUGCUAAUUGUGCUAAGAACCUCGUUGGAUAUUGGUUGAAGAAAUCACAUUAUCAAUGUAAUGUUUAAAAUUUUGAGUGAAGUGUUUUGAGAAUGAAAUGUAUUUAAAGCUUAUAAGAAUGGCUAACUUCUGAUUGUACUAUUUGAUAUAGAAAAUAUUUGAAUGCCAAGCUUCAUCCAUACUAUUUUUUUGGUAAAUUUAUGCAUUUUUCUCAUAACCAUCCUUGUAAGCCACCAACUCCUCUACACAUGCCACAUGGUAUGUAUGUGAAUAGUCAUCAUGUGGGAUUUAUAUGGCUUCCAUAUCAUGCUUAAUAAUAAUAAAAUCAUUAUUAAUUAUCAACAUUUUUAACUAACUUGGUAAUUCUCUACUAAUCAAAUAAUUAACCAAUUAUUCACAUAAUUAAGAAUUGUCUCGAAUUACUUAAAAUACUACUCCUUUUUAACAUACCUUGUACACUUUAUAGUCAUGUAGUACAUUGUAUGGCACUAAUUCAUAAAUACCGGGUAUUUUAGCUCGGGCCGUAUUUUACCCCAAAUGCCAAACUUUGACGAAAAUUUAUUUUCUUUGACUUUCUUCCCCAUUCACUUUCACGAAUUUACUCAUCACUUGUGAAAUAUCAUAAUCCUUAUAGUCUCCAAAUAAUCUUUUACUUGGACUGAUGCCAAUUACCAUACGACAAAUUCAACAUACAAUACUACAUGGUGCAACAUCGUCGUAACGUAAUAUUUCAAAGCGUAAUACCAUCGUAAUGUAAUACUGCAAGGCAUAACAUUAUCGUUAUAAAAUGCUGCAGGAUGUGACAUCAUUGUAAUAUUAUGGGGUGUAACAUCAUUCCCCUCCUUUGGAACAUUCGUCUUUCAAUGUUGACUGAUGCUCUUAUCAUUUUCACAACUUGUAGCUCUUGUGAAUACCUUAAUACUCUCCUUUCCAUUUAAGUAGUUGCUCUUUGAAUAAAUCCAAAGUCUAGGGUAUUCCCCUCUUUAGUCUUUUUGCUCAUAUUAUGACUUGAGGUCGAAAUCUUUUUAAUCUCGCAACUGCCGCUACCUCCUACCAUGCAUCCUGUAUGACCCUGGCUUUGUAAGCGCGCUUAUGCGAUUCAUUUUUCCUUUUUUCCUUUUAGCUUUUAGUCAAUCUUUAGGCCUUACUUUGUAAACAUAUACAAGGCUUAAUUGGAUGCCUCUCUGGGACUCGAUACUUUGUGGAACUUGCGAAUAUGGCCAUACCUUAUUUCAUAUAUCUUGCUAUCCAUUCGUAUGACUUUACUGUAUCUACAUGGGUUAUACUUAACUUUUACUUCAAUUUAUCAUUACUGAGGUAUGCUUACCAAGCUCCCAGUUACUUUUGUUACUUAUCCUUUAGGUACAAAUCUCAGUCCUUUAAUUCUCCUUCAUUACCGUUCGUCUUAAGAAUCAUGGCCUAAUCUCAUGUCAUACUUUGUAACUUGUAUCCGUCCAUUGUUGAUUCAUCUCAAUGUGGAUCUACAAUCCUCUACUUGAAUACUUGAAACUUCUUACGUAAUACAUUGCCGCUAGGGCUUACGUUGCAUUGAGGAAUAUUUGAAGUGAUUUCCAUAAUCGCAUUUUAUAGUGUCUCAAUGUAAUUCACCUUAUGGGGGGGGGGUAUCCUAAUCUAGUGCCGUUAGUGAAAUCUUUUCCCCUUAUCUUUUUUUUUACAAAAUCAUUAUUCAAACGAAGGUCCAAAUGUCAUUCUUUAUCUACCACAAUUACACCUUCAUCUCUUUCAAAUGAUAUUAGUCUUAGACUCCUUUGAGUUCAUUCAGGCUAUACUGAGCUUUCUAUGACCUAGAGAAACCAUUAGCUUGCUUGUUUUCAUGGGUUUAAUUCUGAGGACUUAUCUAUUCCCAUCACCUUCUCACUCGCCCUUUUGUAUCCUUACUCUUGACUUCCUAAAACCUUGUCGUUUUUCCAUACUUAAGCUCGUGACCUACCUAUAUUUAUUUAUAUUACUCGCAACCUUCCUUCAACUUGCUUGUAUCAUAGGUUUCCUUAUGUCACUCUGGAACAUCAAGAGAGAUAUCACAUCGUCUCUAACUCUUCUUUACUGUCUUAAAUAGCCUCCUCGAUACCUAGAAACUAUAGGCUAUGAUAUAUGUCACUGAAGAUGCCGCUAUCAUUCUUGGAUAUUGAAUCCCCGCGCUUCUAGCCUUCUAUCUGAAGUAUGGACUAUUCACAACUUUCUGCAUUUGAGUAUCUCGUACAUUGGUUGUCCGCGCUUCUAACCGUCUUGGGUAUACCGAGCCCGAGAAGGUUCCGGAUAGUUGUCCACGACCCUGAUUUAUGGUUGGUGCCAGGUACGGGCAUCCAACCAUAUCUCGGUUGGGUAUCUGAUUAAACUUCAUUUGAAAAGUCCUGGAGUCAUCGGGCAUGGUUCGUUUAAGCUUCGGGCGAAGGCCUGUGUUGCUUGUCAUCAAAUCGGGGGUGAUCUUGUUCAUUCCAUCAGGGAAUGAGGUGCGACUUCCUAUGGCAUUUCAUUCUCCCUUUGUUCGGCCUCAGAUAUGUUGGGCCAUCCCGUUGCUGCUUUGGUGGUGUUGGUGUGUGCCUCUACGGAGGAAUCUGUUAGAACGGUAACCGAGUUUGUGAGGUCAGGCGCUAUGCUGCGCCACAUCAUGGUUCCUUUUGAGAGUGUUUCCUCGGGCUUCUUCCACAAGACGGGCUCAAACUCAUCAUCUUGUAGGUCACUGCCUUUUCCCGUGCAUGUGUAAGUGAUGGUGCGCUCGUCGGGAUCCGGGUCCUAUCACACUUAGGGAGUUCCGACAUUUUAGAUUUCCAUGAAAUAGGUUCCAAGACCAAUUCCUCGGGGGAUGACUGCUGUAUGAACUUCCACGGACCUGACUCGAUCCUCUUGGAGAGAUCCCCAAGCAUCUUCGCUAUGGUAGGGUGUGUUAUCGAUCCGUUGUUCCUUGAUCUUCCGGGUACUCGUUCGGCGUGGGGAGCUGUUUCCAGUGCUACUGUGCUGGGAAUCUGCGGGUGGCUCUGCAGCUGAGCGACAACCAACUGUUGUGCCUGCAAAAUCUUAAAAAUAUCGUGAAGACUCACUUCUCGUGCUUCUCGAUCUGGGGAUUUUUGGGCUUCCUGUCGGUCGAUAUGUUGUAUGCUCCCAUCGGUGUGUGAUACUUCGUCGACCUAUUGCAUGCCUUGUGAACCCGCGUCCACUAGAAUUGGCCCAGAUGAGUUAUUGGGGUCUUACGGCAUUGUGCCAACCACUGGAAUGGCCACACCGUUUCUGCUGUGAUUUUCGAGGUUGUCGUUUUCGACUCUAUUUACCGAGCCAGACANNNNNNNNNNNNNNNNNNNNNNNNNNNNNNNNNNNNNNNNNNNNNNNNNNNNNNNNNNNNNNNNNNNNNNNNNNNNNNNNNNNNNNNNNNNNNNNNNNNNNNNNNNNNNNNNNNNNNNNNNNNNNNNNNNNNNNNNNNNNNNNNNNNNNNNNNNNNNNNNNNNNNNNNNNNNNNNNNNNNNNNNNNNNNNNNNNNNNNNNNNNNNNNNNNNNNNNNNNNNNNNNNNNNNNNNNNNNNNNNNNNNNNNNNNNNNNNNNNNNNNNNNNNNNNNNNNNNNNNNNNNNNNNNNNNNNNNNNNNNNNNNNNNNNNNNNNNNNNNNNNNNNNNNNNNNNNNNNNNNNNNNNNNNNNNNNNNNNNNNNNNNNNNNNNNNNNNNNNNNNNNNNNNNNNNNNNNNNNNNNNNNNNNNNNNNNNNNNNNNNNNNNNNNNNNNNNNNNNNNNNNNNNNNNNNNNNNNNNNNNNNNNNNNNNNNNNNNNNNNNNNNNNNNNNNNNNNNNNNNNNNNNNNNNNNNNNNNNNNNNNNNNNNNNNNNNNNNNNNNNNNNNNNNNNNNNNNNNNNNNNNNNNNNNNNNNNNNNNNNNNNNNNNNNAUUUUUGGGCUUCCUGUCGGUCGAUAUGUUGUAUGCUCCCAUCGGUGUGUGAUACUUCGUCGACCUAUUGCAUGCCUUGUGAACCCGCGUCCACUAGAAUUGGCCCAGAUGAGUUAUUGGGGUCUUACGGCAUUGUGCCAACCACUGGAAUGGCCACACCGUUUCUGCUGUGAUUUUCGAGGUUGUCGUUUUCGACUCUAUUUACCGAGCCAGACAUUUUGACUUGAAAUCAAAGGAUAUUGGACAAGAAAAAGUGUGAAAGAUAAUGUGCAUUUGUGCAAUGAAACCAAAAAAAAAAUAAUCACUAUUAUUUUUAGCCCCACGGUGGGCGCCAAACUGUUUACUGUGAAAAUGUAAUAACAAUUAAAUUUGUAAAUGGAAUUCUAAAAAUACGUGAUCCAUUAUUGAGCUAGUUUUUAGAGCAGAUAAUGCUAAAAAUGUGGAGUUUAAUGAUGAAAUGCAAGCUAAAAUGAGGCUGUAAUCAAAUCGAGGGGGCUGUUACCCGGAUGCAGGAUUGGUCGAUGGGGGACCUCUAAGUCAAUGUUCGGGUCGAGCUCGAGCUAUCGGGGGAAAUCGAGAAUCGGAUAACAGUUAGGAUAUGAUUAAAAAAAUCUUUUAAAGUGGCCUCGGGCCAGUGAGAACGAGCAAUUUAGAAAGAAGAGAGAGAGAGAGAGAUAUUAUUGCACUUGGAGAUAUGGAGCAACAUCAAUCCUCUACAAGGUAGUGCAAGUUCCCUUAUAUAGGAGGGGAACUCGGCUACAAGUAUAUAGGCAUUAAUUACAAAGUAUAGAGAUGGGAUUGCUUGACGCCAUGCCUAAGCAUAAACUCUGGAUAGGCCGGCCCCAUCAGACUUAGUCGUGUGCCUUGGGAGCUUCCCCUUCUGUCCUGUCUUUGAUUUUCGUCUUCUUUGAGUCGGGCCUCAACGAUCCCCGAGGUCGGGAACUCGGUCAUGGCUUCCCAUCCUCGGGGUCUCGAGGCAUUCUACCGAAAUGACUUGACAUUGAUAAAUCAUGUUCUCUGAUUUUUCCGCAUACAAUAAGUCUUGUGAAUGCACCUUUGUGAACCUUCCAACAAGUAUGUAAAGGCUUUUUUGUUUUACCUUUGUUUUAAAUUUUGACAUUCGUCAAUGAUUAGCCAGAUGAAUUGGACUUCGAGGUAAAACCCUUAGGUUGAUAAAUCGUCCCUGAGGCUUGUUGGGCUGGCUCGUAGGUUCUUACACAUUUGCCAUUAGGCUUUUAGUUAACUGUUUUGGGCUUAGUUUACGAGUCGAAUUUCGACUCAAGCUCAUUGACACUUAUGUUUUCAAAAUUUUAAGCUAUCUCUUAGGCUCUUAUGCAUCGGGUCGGUAAGACCUCUUAAUAUAGGUUAGUGACAGUGGCUCUUACGCAUUGGGUCGAUACGACCACUUAAUGUAGGCUGGCGACAGUGGAUCUUAUGCAUUAGGUCGAUACGACCUCUAAUGUGGCUUUAUUUUCCCUCAUUUAACGCCAGUCGCUCUUAUGAAUUGGGUCGAUACGACCUCUAAUGUGGCUUUACUUUCCCUCGUUAAAGACUUUUUGAAGUUUUUGUGUUCGCUCGAUUCUUCGACGUCUAGAUAAAAGCCUCGAUUGUGAGCCGUUAUGUAGCGAUAAAUGAGCACCUUGGGAGGUUUCGAUCGAUGGCUGAAUUAUUUUGAAGCCUUUUGUUUUGAGAUGAUAUGAUCGAAGCUCUUUUUAUUAUGUCGAGGGUAGCCUGAUUAACCGGUUCUUUUCAAAGUAAUUUGAAGGCCUGUGAUUUAAUAGCAACGGUCGGGCGUCCCCGAGUCACGCGAGUUUGGCCGGAGCCUUGUGGUCGUAGUCAUUGCAUUUGGCCGUAGCCUUUCAGUCCCCGAGUGAAGUAGUUUCGGCAUUUAUAUCGAGGGUAUGCCUUUUUAGUGGUCUUACAAGUUCAAAUAUGUAGCCUUAACUUUAAGAUCGGGAUGAUGCCUUUUUGCAAGGUCUUGUAAAUUUUAACAUACCUUACUUGAGGUCUUACAGAUUUGGUUACUUAAAACCAGUAUAAUUCACGCCUUGCUUGAGGUCUUAUAUAUUUGGUUACUUGGUACAAGUAUAAUUCAUGCCUUGCUUGAGGUCUUACAGAUUUGGUAUUGCCUUAUGAAGGUCUUAUGAGUUUGAGGUUGCCCGCAUGGGCUUUUAUGGCCUUGGAUCUUCGACAAAUCGAUGGGGGUGACGGUCGAGGACAGUCCCCGAGUCAUCCAAAGUUUCUUGGCUCUGGAGUCGUUCCUUGUAAACUUGGUAUUGCCUCAUUGAGGGCUUAUGAGUUUGAUGUUUUCGACUCGGAGGUCAUGUGGCUUCGAGUUUUUGAUGUCAGUCCUUGUGUGUUCGGAAGAUUAUUUGGCUCUGGAGCCAUUUCUCAUAAAAGUGGCACACUUGAAGUGAGAAGCGUUUUUAUGCAGUAAGAGAUACUCCUUUGAUUACUUGUUACAAGUAUACAUUUUUUUGCCGUCAAGGGCUCAAUUAUUCUAUGCGGACACGGUUCUUUCGACCGUUGGCCCGAUACAUCAUUUUCCUAUCGAGACCCUUUUUGGCUCAUCUUGACUUUUUUACGAAGGUGAUAUUUCGAGGGAUGCCCCCAGUGUUUGAGGUUGAUUGCAGAGAAGCCUUGAACACUUGUUAAGUUCUCCUUAGUAGCGCAUAUAUGUUGUCUCGUUAAAAACCUUGCCGGUAAGACCCUUCUUGUGAUAAAAUCCGAUCGAAGGAAAAGAGUGUAAUGCAUGCUUUAAAACCCAAGGUCUUCAAGCCAGGGGAUGUUUUGGCGCCUUCCAUCAGACACCUUAACAGUAGUAACAUUUGAGCAUUGAUAUGUUCCAAUUGCUUGGAAGUUGUUCGCCUUCCAUGGUACUGCGUUUGUAGGACCCUUUGUCGAUUACUCCGAGGAUAUGGUAUGGUCCUUCCUAGUUUUGGCCCAGUUUUCCUUCAUUAGGUUUUCGAGUAUUUAGGGUGACUUUCCUUAGGACUAAGUCCUCGACUCCGAAAUGUUGGAGAUUUGUUCUCUUAUUAUAGUACCUUUCGAUCCUUUGUUUUUGGGCAGCCAUUCGGACCAGCGAAGCUUCUCACUUUUCAUCCAGUAGUUCGAGGGUCGUAGUCAUGGCCUCAUUGUUUGAGCUCUCGGAGGUGUAUCGGAAUCUGGCGCUUGGAUCUCUGACCUCUACCGGUAUCAAAUCCUCGGCACCAUAUACCAUAGAGAAAGGUGUUUCUCCUAUGCUUGAUUAGGAGUUGUUUGAUAUGCCCACAACACUUUGGGUAAUAUUUCUCUCCAUUUUCUCUUAGCACUUUCCAACUUUUUUUAAGUUUUGAAUGAUGGUAUUGUUUGUGGAUUGGGCCUGACCGUUUGCACACGGGUGGUAGGGUGUCGACAUGAUUCUUUUUAUUUUGUGAUCCUCGAGGAACUGUAUUACUUUGCUUCUGAUGAACUGCUUCCCGUUAUCACAUGUUAUCUCGGAAGGGAUUUCGAAUCGGCACAUGAUAUGGUCCCAUAUGAAGUUAAUGACUUCUUUUUCUCUUAUCUUUCAAAAGCUUGCGCUUCUACCCAUUUUGAGAAGUAGUCAGUCAUAAAUAAAAUAAAUCUAGCUUUACCUAGUGUCAUUGGUAGGGAUCCGACGGUGUCCAUCCCCCACUUCAUAAAUGGCCAUGGAGACAAGACGGAAUGCAGCUGCUCACCGAGUUGGUGAAACGUCGGGGCAAAUCUCUAGCCUUUAUCGCACUUACGGACAAAUUUUUUGGCAUUUUUUUCCAUGUUGUCCCAAUAGUAGCAUGUUCUAAUCACCUUUCAGACUAAGGAAUCGACACCAGAGUGAUUUCCGUAGGCGCCCUCGUGGAUUUGUGGGAGCACAUAAUUCGUGUCCCCCGGCCGCAAACAUAAUGCUAUGGGCCUGCCAAAGGUUCUUCUGUACAGAGUUCUAUUUUUGUCGAGCGAGAAUCGGGCUGCUUUGGUUCGCAUGGCCCUCGAUUCAUUUGGGUCCGCGGGUAGUUUUCCACUUUCCAAAUAAUCGAUAUAUUUAUUUCUCUAAUCCCAUGUUAGGUUAGUAGAGUUGAUCUUGGCAUGACCUUCCUCGAUCACUUAUUUGGAUAGCUGAACAACAGCCACGGGGAGUAGGUCAUCUUCUUCGAUAGAUGAUCCCAGGUUUGCAAGGGCAUCAGCCUCGCUAUUCUGCUCUCGAGGUAUGUGGACCAGAGUCCAUUCUUUGAAGCGGUGCAAUGUGACUUGAAUUUUGUCUAUGUAUCUUUGCAUCAUGUCUUCUCAAACCUCGAAGCUUCCAUUUACCUGAUUCACUACCAAGAGGGAAUCACAUCAUGGUUCGAUGACUUCAGCUCCUAGGCCGUUGGCAAAUUCCAGACCUGCAAUCAUAGCCUUAUAUUCAGCUUCGUUGUUAGUCAACUUUGAAGUUUUUAUAGAUUGCCUGAUUAUGCCGCCUGUAGGGGGUUCAGGACUAUGCCGACCCCGAAUCCUCUUACGUUCGAGACGCCGUCAGUGAACAGGGUCCAUACCUCGAAAGUUGUGCCUAUUUUUAGUAAAAGCUCUUUCUCUACCUCGGGCACGAGGGAGGGAGAGAAGUUAGCCAUGAAAUCCGCCAGAAUUUGGGACUUGAUAGCAGUUCGGGGUUGAUACUCGAUAUCAUAUCUCCUGAGUUCGAUAGCCCAUUUGGCCAGUCGGCCCGAUAAUUCGGGCUUAUGCAAUAUGCUUCGAAGAGGAUAUGUUGUUAAAACACAAAUAUGAUGGUAUUGGAAGUAAGGUUUCAAUUUUUGUGAUGCGCUUAUUAAUGCAAGAGCUAAUUUUUCUAGGUACGUAUACCUAGUUUCGGCAUCUCCCAAGGUCCAACUUACAUAAUAAACUAGGGAAUUGUGUACCUUGUUCUUCUCGAACUAGCACACCACUUACCGCUAUCUCGGAGGAUACGUCCAUGUUUAAAUACAGUGUCUCAUCCUCCUUUGGGGUAUGGAGUAAAAGUGGGCUAGUCAGAUAUCGCUUCAACUCUUCUAAGGCACGUUGGCAUUCCGGAGUCCAUUCAAAGUCUUUUUCUUUUUGAGUAAGGAGAAGAAAUGAUGACUCAUGUCUGAUGAUCUCGAUAUCAAUCGGUCCAAGGCUGAUAUCCGCCUAGUUAGUCAUUGCACGGCCUUCACAUUGUUUACCACCAUGAUUUCUUCAAUUUCCUUUAUUUUAUCGGGGUUGAUCUCGAUUCCCUUGUUUGACACCAUGAAGCCUAAGAAUUUUCCCGAACCCACUCCGAAGGCACAUUUCUCGGGAUUGAGUUUCAUCUUAUAGCUUCUGAGGAUGUCGAAUGGCUCCUGCAAAUGAGUCAAAUGGUCCUCUGCGUGCAAGAACUUAACUAGCAUGUCAUCAAUAUAAACUUCCAUGGAUUUGACUAUUUGAUGUUCGAACAUUUUAUUAACUAGGCGCUGGUACGUGGCUCCCGCAUUUUUUAGCCCGAAGGGCAUUACAUCGUAACAGUAUGUACUGUACUUCGUGAUGAACGAAGUCUUAUCCCUAUCCCUGGGGUCCAUCUGAAUUUGAUUAUACCCCGAGUAGGCAUCGAGAAAAGUGAGGGUCUCAUGACCGGCUGUGGCAUCAAUCAGGUGGUCGAUGUUAGGCAAUGGGAAUGAAUCCUUGGGGCAUGCUUUAUUUAAGUCUUUAUAAUCUGUGUACAUUCUUAACUUAUUUCCCUUUUUGGGAACUACCACCACAUUGGCUAGCCAUUCGGGAUAUUUUACCUCCCUAAUAGACCCUAUUUUGAGGAUUUUUGUUACCUCAUCCUUGAUGAAUGCGUGUUUUACUUCGGACUGAGGUCUCCUCUUUUGUUUUACCAGUUUGAAUCUCGGGUCAACACUUAAUCGAUGGGUGGUUAUUUCCGGUGAGAUUCCUGUCAUGUGUAAAUGAGACCAAACAAAGCAAUCGAUGUUAUUAAUAAGAAAUUGAAUAAGUUUUUUCCUGAGUUUCGGGGUUAGUCCCGUUCCCAGGUAUACCUUCUGAUCUGGGAGAUGUUCGAUAAAAAAAGCUUGCUCUAGUUCUUUAAUAGUCAAUUUCGUGGAAUCCGCCUCUUCGGGGGAAACGAAAGUUCGGGGGGAGAGGAAAUCUUUCUCAUCGUCCUCGGGGGUCUGUUUGCCUCCCGACUCUUCCGAGGUACGAUCUGAUCUAGAAGCCCGAGUUGUUCUACCACCUUUGACUUGAUUACAUUGGCCGAGCUACCUGGAUCUACGAGUACACAUUUAAUUUGAAUGCUAUUCAAGAGAAACGAAUUACCAGCGCAUCGUUAUGUGGUCGAGUCAAGGUCUCGAAAUCUUCCUCGAUGAAUGCAAGGAUGUCUUCGGACAUGUGGCCUCGAAUUAACCCUUCCGUUGCAGCAGACACUUUUACCCAUUGAUCACGGGUCCUUAGGGAAUGUCGGUCCCCCCAAUGAUCAUAUGAACAGCAUGCUGAGGUUUUCCUGCCCCGUUUCUCCUAUCUGCCUCUCUUUCUUCCUGGGUGGGAUUUUUUCGAGCUUCUUGUUGAUUUUCUUGGCGUACUCCUGUUAAUGUGGGCACAAACCUCAAUGCGUUGGGAGUUGCAUGAAACCAUACCCAUAGGGAGAGGUUCUGGUGCACUCUCAGGGAUUUGUGGUAGUACAUCAAUACCUGGAACAGCUACACCAUUUUCUCCAUGGUCCUCAAGAGCGUUAUUUUCAUAUGCGUUCACGGAGUUAGAUAUUUUGACCUGAAAUCAAAGAUUCUUGGACAAAAAAAGUGCAAAGAAUAACUUGCGUUAUGCAGUAAACCAUCAAGAAAACCACUACUAUUAUUUUUAGCCCUACGGUGGGCGCCAAACUGUUUACCUUGAAAAUGGUAAUCAUAAUUAUAUUUGAUUUUGUGGUUCUAAAAAUAAGUGAUUCAUUUUUAUGCUAGUUGUUAAGCAGUAGAUACUAAGCAUGAGACAAAAAAAUGAGAUAAAAACAUGAAAAAGUAUGUUUAAGCAAACCGAGUGGUCGAGAAUCGGGGCCUCGAGGUCUAGCUAGAUACUGAGCUGUUGACAGCUAAUGAAUGGCUAACUAUUUUGAGAGCUUUGAUGAAGGCUCUUUAUGAUCAACAGUGAGCAAUAAAUGAAGAACAAUUAAUGAAAUACAAUAAAUGUAAGCAAUAAACGUAAGCAAUAGAACAAAGGGAGAAUGUGUUUAAGUUAGAGAGCAGAGAAUGUUCUUGUUCUUGUAUCGAAUGUUGUGUAUUGAGUCUAUUAUCUUGUCACGUGUGCAAAAAAAUAACAAGGGUCCCCUUUAUAUAGGAGGGGAAUUUCCAACAUAGUACAUUUGCAUUUAUUAAAAAGAAAUGUAGCUGGUACAGCUAUUUAGAAGUAUGGUACAGACUGGUACUAUUCUUGUAGGUCUUGUGAGAUUUGACCACGUGCCUAGGGAACUUCCCAUUUAUCCAUGAUAACCAUCAAUUUAAGCCGCCCUGAGGUCGGCCACAAAGAACCCUCGAGGUCAAAACCUCGAACCGUACCCCCGAGCCUUCGAGGUGAAGCUAUGAAAAGACAUAGUGAUAGUAAAAUCAGGCUCUCCGAUUUUAUCAAUAUAUAGUACCUGUGAUAAAUGCAUCAAAGGCCUCCGCCUCAGGUCUGGCUAGAAUAGCAUAACAUCGGGGCUGGGCCCCAUCACUCAUCCUGAUGACGACCUCCUACUGGUUGGCCUCCACCUCUAGGUGCCCGACCUCCACCUCUAACGGCCUGACCUCCACCUCUAACACCUCGACCACUACCUCUAGCUGGCUGAACGAGCGGUGGAACACCCGGUGCUGGAAAUAUAACACGAUAACCCUGGUGCUGAGAACUACUCAAAGCUCGAGGGAAAAACCUAGCAAUGUGCCUCAUAUCGCCACAAGUAUAACAAGCCCUCUGCUGCUGGGACUACUAACCUAGAAACUAAUCCUGACGGCCUGAGCAACCACCCUGAAAACUCUGGAGUAGUUGUGCACUAAUAGGAGCUGGUGCUGCACUGUAGGACAACUGAUCAAAAUACUGCAUAUGAGAACCACAGCCACCUGGAGCACCGUGAGAAGCCUGAAGUGCUGAAUGAAACGGCUUAUGAGGAUGGCCCCUACCAAAAGAAUCCUUACCUCCAGAUGAGGCCACACUGAACCUGCCAGAAUGACGAGGCCUCGUGUCAGACCACUAACCAUACCCUUGUAAUAGAACCAUCUCAACUCUUCUGGCCACAUUGGUUGCAUCCUGUAAGGAAAUCUCACUCCCUCUCUCCUUAGCCAUCUGUAAUCUGAUAGGCUGAGCUAGUCCCUCAAAAAAUCUCCUCACUCUCUUGUCACACCUCCUUUUUUCUACACCCCCGUAAAGGGUGUAUAAAGAAAUUUUUUCCAAUUAAAGUGACAAUAGAAACGAGAUUAUUUCAUUUAAAAAAAAUUCAGAGUCGCCACUUGGGAUAAUUUAUGGUGUCCCAAGUCACCGAUUUAGAAUCCCGAAUCGAGGAAAAGAUUGACUCUGUAUUACAGUCCGCGAACACAGAAAUUCGGGUAAGGAAUUCUGUUAACCCGAGAGAAGGUGUUAGGCAUUCCCGAGUUCUGUGGUUCUAGCAUGGUCGCUCAACUAUUAUAAUUGGCCUAAUUAUCUGAUUUUAAAACACUUUUAAACCUAUGUACAUUUCUAACUUUAAAAACCGCUUUUAAUUAAUUUUAGGAAAUAUUCAACGUUAUCUAAAACACGUCUUGAACCACGCCACAUAAAAUGCACCCGCGGUUCACGACACAUUUUAUUUAGCAUUGUUGAGAUUUGGAUUUGGGUCACAUGAAAUGCACACCCGAGUUUAAAGAAGUUAAUUUAAAUUGCGCGCCUAAAGCAACUACGCACUUUCAAGUUUGCGAGGGCCAUAGAAAAUUCAACUAAAUGGCACACCUCGAUUUCUAAAGGAUUAAAAUUAAUUAAUUGAGGGCCAUGAGUCUUGGGGUUUUAUUUGGCAUGGAACACCUCGACUUAUUUUAAAAGGAUUGUAUUCAAUUUAAAGCAAACUACAAAUGUUCAUGAUUAUUGUCCUAAAGCUAAUUUGAGAUUGUUCAAAGUUAUGUAAUUCAUUGUGGCAAAAAAAAUAAGCAAAUUAGUUGUGAAGGUCCAUAUUAGAACUUUUAUUCUCACGUGAUAUGUCACGUAUUGGCUAAUUUUCCAUCUAAUUGAAACAAAAAUUUUCAUCAACAGCCAAUCCCAAACCAAUUGUCCUUUUGCCCAAAAUCUCGAUUUUCCUCCUAACAACAAACUCACUGCCACUCGAGAUUAACAUUACUGGUAAAUGAAAAAGAGUAAAAAACAAAUCAAACCAACAAACUAGAUAAAUCAAACCAACAAACCAGAAAUAACAUUAAGACAAGAUUAAACAUGUUAAUUUCCCGUCUUGAAAAAUAUCGACACACAUAAGCAAGGAAGUAAACACUUUAGCAAAUAUCAAAUUCUUCCUUCAUCAUUAAAACUUGUAAGGCACCAAAAGCGCAUCACAUUAAUUAAGAACGGGUUAAGAAAAAUGGACCUCAAAAUUGCAAUUUCAAUGGUGAACCAUCUCUAAAUAUUUAGAAACCGAAAAAAAUCGGCCAGCGGUCAGGACCUCCAAUGGAACCUCAGACUAGCGACGUCGACCGGCGACGAAAAAUUCAAAUGCGGUUGUCCAAGUUGCGUUUUCUUUUAAGCUUAUUUGGACGGGUUUCAUACUAUUUAGGGAGAAAGAAAAAGCUGGUUUGAACUUAUUUUUAGAGGUCUUUUGCUGCUGCUAAGGAUGGUUUUUGAAUGUGUUUUUGUUUUUUAGAAGAAAAGGGCUCAUUGGUGUGAGAUCCAAGGAAAGGGCAGAGGUCGUUUGGGUUAUCUGUUAAGAAGAAGCUGGAAGGAGGUCCUCCAUUUUUUGUGAAGGAGUAGCCUUGCUUUUUUUUUUAGCUUGGAGACGAUGAUCUCUGAUUUCGCUGACAUCGGCGGACCAUUUUUUGGAAGUCAGGCCAUUUUCUCUUUUUCGGUUUUUGUCUCGUCCCUUUUGAGAAACGGCGGAUCAAUCAUUUUUUUU
Molecule: long non-coding RNA, 18996 nt
Filed under: Nicotiana tabacum (common tobacco)
Lineage: Eukaryota; Viridiplantae; Streptophyta; Magnoliopsida; Solanales; Solanaceae
Description: long non-coding RNA (NTAB_LNC014563)
Source: RNAcentral